Molecule: ribosomal RNA, 496 nt
Filed under: uncultured bacterium
Lineage: Bacteria
Description: partial 16S ribosomal RNA
Rfam family: Bacterial small subunit ribosomal RNA
Source: RNAcentral
GAUGAACGCUGGCGGCGUGCCUAAUACAUGCAAGUCGAGCGAACAGACGAGGAGCUUGCUCCUCUGACGUUAGCGGCGGACGGGUGAGUAACACGUGGAUAACCUACCUAUAAGACUGGGAUAACUUCGGGAAACCGGAGCUAAUACCGGAUAAUAUAUUGAACCGCAUGGUUCAAUAGUGAAAGACGGUUUUGCUGUCACUUAUAGAUGGAUCCGCGCCGCAUUAGCUAGUUGGUAAGGUAACGGCUUACCAAGGCAACGCUGCGUAGCCGACCAGGGAGGGGAAUCGGCACCACUGGAACUGGGAAACGGUCCAGACCCCUAGGGGAGGCAGCAGUAGGGAAUCUUCAGAAAUGGGCGAAAGCUUGACGGAGCAACGCCGCGUGAGUGAUGAAGGUCUUCGGAUCGUAAAACUCUGUUAUUAGGGAAGAACAAAUGUGUAAGUAACUAUGCACGUCUUGACUGUACCUAAUCAGAAAGCCACGGCUAACUACGU